CAACGGAUCUCUUGGUUCCGGCAUCGAUGAAGAACGCAGCGAAAUGCGAUAAUUAAUGUGAAUUGCAGAAUUCAGUGAAUCAUCGAGUCUUUGAACGCACAUUGCACCCCCUGGUAUUCCGGGGGGUAUGCCUGUCCGAGCGUCAUU
RNAcentral lists this ribosomal RNA (147 nucleotides) under Aspergillus ostianus. Its description in RNAcentral is "5.8 S ribosomal RNA". It matches the Rfam family "5.8S ribosomal RNA". Rfam says of the family: 5.8S ribosomal RNA (5.8S rRNA) is a component of the large subunit of the eukaryotic ribosome. It is transcribed by RNA polymerase I as part of the 45S precursor that also contains 18S and 28S rRNA. Functionally, it is thought that 5.8S rRNA may be involved in ribosome translocation. Lineage: Eukaryota; Fungi; Ascomycota; Eurotiomycetes; Eurotiales; Aspergillaceae. The record is from RNAcentral.